Neoarius graeffei (lesser salmon catfish) is the source of this 501-nucleotide non-coding RNA. Lineage: Eukaryota; Metazoa; Chordata; Actinopteri; Siluriformes; Ariidae. The record is from the annotation of a RefSeq genome assembly.
AUGUUCACUGUUAUAUUCCUGUGUCUGUGGCUUUCACUGAGUGACUCCAUGGCAGAUUCAAUAGAGCCACUUUUCACUCAGAAAGUUGUUGAUGAAGGUGAUGAUGUUACUCUGUCCUGCAGCUACAAACCGACUGGUGCAUCAGACUCCCUACAAUGGUACAGACAAUAUCCAAACUCGAAACCUCAGUUCCUUCUUUAUAUCUUACCAAGUGGACAUAAAAGUAACCCUCCUCCACCACGUCUCUCUGCUGAAGUUGAUGAAAAGAAGAAAAAAGUGGAUCUGCUCAUCUCCUCUGCUGCUGUAUCAGACUCUGCACUAUACUACUGUGCUCUGCAGCCCACAGUGAGGCUGCUGACAACAGCAUUCAACCAGCCCAAACCACUAUAUCUGGAACCGAAGGCAGCAACAUCACACUGUCCUGCACAUAUACUGGAUCAGUUCGGAGUCUCUACUGGUACCAACAAAAACCUGGAUCAAGACCAGAGUUUCUGCUGCUGA